RNAcentral lists this ribosomal RNA (440 nucleotides) under uncultured bacterium. Its description in RNAcentral is "partial 16S ribosomal RNA". It matches the Rfam family "Bacterial small subunit ribosomal RNA", at positions 338 to 795 of the family's 1533-position model. The record is from RNAcentral.
CCUACGGGUGGCAGCAGUAGGGAAUUUUGCGCAAUGGGCGAAAGCCUGACGCAGCAACACCGCGUGAAUGUUAAGCCCUUCGGGGUGUAAAGUUCUGUCAAUUGGGACGAAUUUUGACUGUACCUAUAAAGGAAGCACCGGCUAACUCCGUGCCAGCAGCCGCGGUAAUACGGGGGGUGCAAGCGUUGUCCGGAAUCAUUGGGCGUAAAGCGUUCGUAUGCGGCAAGGUAAGUCUGAUGUUAAAGCACGGGGGUCACCUCCGGUUCGGCAUUGGAUACUAUCUAGCUAGAAGGUGAUAGAGGUACAGGGAAUGCGUGGUGUAGCGGUGAAAUGCAUAGAGAUCACGCAGAACUCCGAUUGCGAAGGCAGCAGACCGGCGCCCAACUGACGCUGAAGCACGAAAGCGUGGGUAUCGAACAGGAUUAGAUACCCCGGUAGUC